Molecule: long non-coding RNA, 255 nt
Filed under: Lathyrus oleraceus (garden pea)
Lineage: Eukaryota; Viridiplantae; Streptophyta; Magnoliopsida; Fabales; Fabaceae
Description: Pisum sativum (pea) long non-coding RNA (PSAT_LNC027519)
Source: RNAcentral
GCUCUGCCAUGUCAACUCCACAUCACAAGUUUAAUUGUUAACUAUAUAAUAGUGAGGGGGGCAAUCAAAAGAAGAAAUAUGAAGAAAAAAAAGAUUUUGUUUAAAGAAAAUUAAAAAGUUAUAAAAAUUAAAAUAGAGAAAUUAAUUUUAAAAAAACAAUUAAAAAUUAAAAUAGUAGAAUUAAAACUGCAUUUAACUCUUUAAUUUAUUAAAUUCAUCCGUGCAAGCAUGGUUUACAAUCUUGUUUAAAAUAAA